This 253-nucleotide ribosomal RNA is filed under the name uncultured bacterium. RNAcentral's name for it is "partial 16S ribosomal RNA". It matches the Rfam family "Bacterial small subunit ribosomal RNA", at positions 524 to 776 of the family's 1533-position model. The record is from RNAcentral.
UACGUAGGGUGCAGGCGUUAAUCGGAAUUACUGGGCGUAAAGCGUGCGCAGGCGGCUUCUUAAGUCAGAUGUGAAAGCCCCGGGCUUAACCUGGGAACUGCGUUUGAAACUGGGAGACUUGAGUGUGGCAGAGGGGGGUGGAAUUCCACGUAUAGCAGUGAAAUGCGUAGAUAUGUGGAGGAACACCGAUGGCGAAGGCAGCCCCCUGGGUUAACACUGACGCUCAUGCACGAAAGCGUGGGGAGCAAACAGG